This is a long non-coding RNA of Ursus maritimus (polar bear), 370 nucleotides long. NCBI's taxonomy places the organism in Eukaryota, Metazoa, Chordata, Mammalia, Carnivora, Ursidae. The record is from Ensembl.
ACAACUCUUGAAUGAUUUGGGCCAGUGACGGCUUUAACUUUAAGUAGUACUUUAUAAAUAAUGGCCUUUGUGAAAAUUGCCCAUUAAAGAUAUAUUAGGUUUUGAGUCUUUUUCUGCGCUGAAGGCACCACUGAUUAACCCUUUGCUGGUUUUGACCUUUAGGAGAGAGCCAAUUCUGGAGAACAACCUAACUUCUUUGAUUGAACACUCACAUAAUGCAUUGGAACAUGAUAGGAGAUUAAGGUUUAAUGAUAAAAUGAAGACCAUAAUAAAACAGUCCCCGUCCUUAGCUCAGGAAUUCUUACCUUGUGGAUAUUACUAUCCCUUAUUCAUCGAAAAAGUUUUAAUUCUAAGUGUUGUUUCUCAUUGA